Molecule: ribosomal RNA, 590 nt
Filed under: Morchella diminutiva
Lineage: Eukaryota; Fungi; Ascomycota; Pezizomycetes; Pezizales; Morchellaceae
Description: eukaryotic LSU rRNA
Rfam family: Eukaryotic large subunit ribosomal RNA
Source: RNAcentral
GGAGGAAAAGAAACCAACAGGGAUUGCCUCAGUAACGGCGAGUGAAGCGGCAAAAGCUCAAAUUUUAAAGCUGGCAUCUUCGGUGUCCGCGUUGUAAUUUUGUGAGGCAUCUCCGGGUAGGGCGCCGGCCUAAGUUCCUUGGAACAGGACGUCAUAGAGGGUGAGAAUCCCGUGCUUGGCUGGCUGUCCCCGUCCAUGUGAGGUGUCUUCGACGAGUCGAGUUGUUUGGGAAUGCAGCUCAAAAUGGGUGGUAAAUUUCAUCUAAAGCUAAAUAUUGGUGGGAGACCGAUAGCGCACAAGUAGAGUGAUCGAAAGAUGAAAAGCACUUUGAAAAUAGAGUUAAAAAGUACGUGAAAUUGUUGAAAGGGAAGCGCUUGAGACCAGACUUCGGUAGGGAGUGAUCAGCUGUCCUUCUGGGCGGUGCACUUGCUCCCCUCCGGGCCAGCAUCGGUUGGGACGGCGGGAUAAAGGUCCCGGGAAUGUGGCUCCUUUCGGGGAGUGUUAUAGCCCGGGUGAAUGCCGCCAGCCCCGACCGAGGACCGCGCCUUCGGGCUAGGAUGCUUGGCAUAAUGGUCUUCAGCGACCCGUCU